UAUGUGAUCGUCUCUCGCAUAUCAAUAAGCGGAGGAAAAGAAACUAACAAGGAUUCCCCUAGUAACGGCGAGUGAAGCGGGAAGAGCUCAAAUUUGAAAUCUUAAAGGGUUUCCCUUUACGAAUUGUAGUUUAAAGAAGUGUUUUCUGUUGAGGUUUUGGUAAAAGUUCUUUGGAAUAGGACAUCAUAGAGGGUGAGAAUCCCGUAUUUGACCUUUACUUUCAACUUUGUGAUACACUUUCAAAGAGUCGGAUUGUUUGGGAAUGCAGUCCAAAAUGGGUGGUAAAUUUCAUCUAAAGCUAAAUAUUGGCGAGAGACCGAUAGCGAACAAGUACCGUGAGGGAAAGAUGAAAAGAACUUUGAAAAGAGAGUUAAACAGUACGUGAAAUUGUCAAAAGGGAAGCGUUUGACACCAGUGUUGUUUUUCUGAAAAUCAAUUAAAGAACUGUUUAUGCUAAGCUUGUUUAGACUUUAUCAGCUAAUCUGCUUAGUUUUGAGCUUUUCUUUAAUGCACUUUUCAGUUAACAAGUCAACAUCAAUUUCUUUUGCUGUAAAAAAGCUUGAGGAAGGUGGCUUGAGAUUCGUCUUAAGUGUUUAUAGCCUCUUGCCUAUGCAGUCGGAGAGAUUGAGGUCUGCAGCGUAGAUCCUUCGGGGCUAAAUGCAUUUGUGCUAAGUUAUAGCAUUUUAUAGACAACUUGUUGACUAUGAUUUGUCUUGUAGCUUACUCGCUUAUGUUAUUUUACCUACGCUUAGGAUGUUGAGUAGCGACAUACGCAC
This 776-nucleotide ribosomal RNA is filed under the name uncultured Neocallimastigales. RNAcentral describes it as "partial large subunit ribosomal RNA". It matches the Rfam family "Eukaryotic large subunit ribosomal RNA", at positions 24 to 649 of the family's 3401-position model. The record is from RNAcentral. Lineage: Eukaryota; Fungi; Neocallimastigomycota; Neocallimastigomycetes; Neocallimastigales.